RNAcentral lists this unclassified non-coding RNA (897 nucleotides) under Leishmania donovani. RNAcentral's name for it is "gene:unknown". Lineage: Eukaryota; Euglenozoa; Kinetoplastea; Trypanosomatida; Trypanosomatidae. The record is from RNAcentral.
CGUCAGGGCCUAGUGCCCAGCGUGCGGGGACGCCAAGGGCCUGCAGCCCGCCCUGGAAGGGGGGUGGUGGUGCGGCUGCGGACUCUCGAUGUUGGCGGACAGGCCUGGGCUGGCGCUGCGCGGAGGAGGCCUGCAGUCAUGAGCGCGUUUGCACCAGCUCACCACGAAUCGUGUCGGCUACUCAGCACAUAAAUUCACGAUACGCGAGGCGACACACUGAGACAACAGCUCCUUGGCGGCAGUCGUCCCACACCAGAAGGACGCGGCUGCCCAGCUUACAAGACGACAGGAGACGGUGCUCGUGCAGUCCCGCACGGGCACCCGGCUGGUGCUUCGGAUUCCUGCAACGGCGGGUGACCCGCAGUGACAACACGGAGCGCAGAUGGUGUGCUGCCCACGUCUCCGCUAGCAUUGUGGUACCCCGCACCCGCCAGAGCCUCCGCCCGCCCUGCUUUGCCUACCGAGGGCGUCCGUCCCGGCGCUGUGCCCGAUAUGCCACGCGAGAUUCGCGGAUCGCUCGCGCUGCACGGGCUUCCGCCGUCGGGCGCCUGCGGUUGCCCUCCGGUGCCCCUUCGGAGCGGCAGGCUACGUGGUCUCCUCGCGAGCAGGCGCAUGCCUAUCCGCGGGCCCCUUCCGCUCGACGCACCCGCUGCCACAGGACUCAUGGCCGCGGCCCCGCCUGCGUCAAGGCGUGCGGUGCAGCCAUGUCCGUGUAGGCACGCCUACCGCGCAGCACGUACCCAAAGAAUAAGCAAUGACGUGCAGGGAGCGCCCGGUAGACGCGUGGCUGCGGUUCAACGGCGCACGGCGCGCCCCCUAGAGAACCAGGACGUCGCCGCUAAUGCGGCACAGGCAGGCGAGCUGUGGUUGUGUAGGCGUCCCUGCUUUGACGCGGUC